RNAcentral lists this long non-coding RNA (1671 nucleotides) under Neogobius melanostomus (round goby). RNAcentral's name for it is "lncRNA (ENSNMLG00000006903.1)". The record is from RNAcentral. Lineage: Eukaryota; Metazoa; Chordata; Actinopteri; Gobiiformes; Gobiidae.
CUCGGUAAAACGGGCGGAGCAAGUUCUCAUCCGGGGAUUUACAGCGGACUUGCUGAGAAGGGAACUUUGAAUUGGAACAGGACUUGGACCGCGCGUGAUGACGUUUCACGAGUCCACGAGCACACAAGUCCGCACAACUACACAGAUUGAGAAACGGCCAAACUCUUUUCAGUAAAGUCAGUAACUCCAUGAUGGAUCCUCAUGUUUGUGUCCCGGGAAGAGUGGACGUGGGGCGGGACGUGAGAGGAGGGAGGAGAGGGGCCAGAGAAGCCAGGAGAUUGAGCAAUGUGCUGGAUUGGACUUUGGCUCGAGAGCUCCGUGAAUCUGUGACUGCUGCGCUGGUUUAUAAGUGAGAGGGAGAGGUGGACGGAGGGGACAAGGAGAGAGAGAGAGAGACAGGACACCAGCGGCGGAGGGGACAGAGGGGACACACAGAGGACAGCCUGUGAAGAGGAUGUGGAUGGACACGAAGGCCGACGCGGGGGACAGCAGCAGGGACACGGGGCUGGCUGGGUCCAGAAAGUCCUCCUGUGCACGGGGGACAUGCAGCACCUGGACAAACUCAUGCAGGAUCGGUGGUGGGUCCUGCAGCUGCUGCUCUGGGCGCUCCGCGGAGUGGCCAGGGUCAUUCUGGCUAAUAACCCCAUCAGCGGGCUCCUCAUCCUGGCCGCGCUCCUCUGGGCCUCCCCCUGGCAGGGUCUGCUGGGGAGUGUGGGCGUGCUGUGCUCCACACUCACCGCAGUCAUCACCGGACAGGACAAGUCAGAGAUCAGCGCGGGUUCGGCCGGGGACUGGUACUGGACUCUCCUGCUGCCCGUGAGCCUGGGCUCAGCCACAUGCGUGCUCCUGUUCUCCAGCCUGUCUCCUCUGCUGGACCGCUGGGACCUGCCCGUCGCUGUGUUCCCCUUCAACAUUACCAUCGUCCUGUUCCUCCUGUGCACCGGCCCGGAGCACCCAUACUUCCCCCGGCACCCGGCUGUCCCUCCUGGGGCUGUGCAAGUGAACGCCACACAGCUCGACACGCUCCAGGUUUUACGGGGCAUCCCUCUGGGCAUCGGGCAGAUCUACGCCUGGACGCUGGCCGGCCUGUCGCUGGGCGUGCGUCUCCCCUCGCUGUACGAGGGCCUCUCGGGGUUUAACGGGGCGCUCGGGUGCAUGACUGUGGGAGGACUGUUCUUCACCUUCAGCUGGAGGACGCACCUGUUCGCCAUCGCCAGUGGCUUCUUCUCUGCGUACAUGGACAUCGCCUUGAGCAACCUCCUGGGAACGGUGGGGCUCCCAGCAUGCAGUUGGGCAGCGACCAUUGUGACCAUGCUCAUGCUGCUGAUGAACGGCUCUCUGAAAGCCUACCGCAUCCCCAUUGGUCAGGUGCAGUCACCUGAGCAGAACCUCCGCUCCCGAAACCAAUGGGAGGCCGGCAGGAGCGCGGACCAAGACAAUACGGACGUAUAGUCCACACAAGAGACUCAUUCCAACACAUUUACUCAUGUGCAGAAGGUUUGUCUAACUGUGCUUUUGAUAGAUUAAGUCGGUUGAUGAAAAAAGGACAUCCACAUCUGUGUACUUCACUGCCUCGUGUGGAUACUUACUUUCCCACUUGCAAAUGACGACUUACGACCUCUGCGCGUCCAGGUGAAUAAAGUCAUAUGUAAACAGAAUGGCUAAUGCUAC